CUUGCCAUGCUUGGGUCAGGUCAUCGGGUUGCAACCUAAAACGGCACCGUUUCAAAGCCAUUAAAGCGGGCCAUAAACGGUGACGUUUUCAAAACUCUCCUUAAACCAAUAUCAGGUCUUAUAAUGCUUAACCUUAAUAGAAAUAAACCCUAAAAAAACUUAACCCCUUCCCUUAGAAGUUGCGCCGUUUCAGACACAGCCAGUCAAAGGCCCCCCGAUCCCACGCCCGAUCUUCGAUUACGACGAAGAGGACGAGGAUUCGGCUUCACAACAAAGGUACGGGUACAGAGGUGCGCGGGUGCGUGGCAGAUACAGAGGUUAUAGAGGCGUACGUGAGUGGAGCGGCUCGAAGGUGCGGUUCGUGCGAGGGCAGAGCCUGCGGUGCCUAGAUCUUCUGAAAACCCUAGGAGUUUUCCGUUUCUGAUUUGGGUUUUCUGGUGUUGGGCCAUUUGGGCCGAUUUGGUUUUAGGUUUUUAUUUUUUUUACUGGUUUAUUUUUGGUUUACGGGCCGGGGAAAAUAUUGGGCCUUACAGGUAUAAUUCCAGUUCCUCAAUUGAGUUACCAUCAUGUUCCUCCGCAUUUGAAGCGAUGUUUUGCGUACUGCCCCAUUCUUCUUAAGGGCUAUUCAAUGAGGAAGACUUAAUCUUGUUAUGGAGGGCACAAGGCUUUCUAGUAAGAAGAACAAGAUAAACAAGGCAUUGAAGAAGUAGGUCACAAGUACUUUAGAGAUUUAGUGUCAAGGUCCCUUUUGCAAAUAAUGAUUUGGCUCAAUCAGCUGCUGGAUAACUAUGCUUCAAGAUCGAGGGUAAUCAACAAAUUUCAAAGCACGCUGGCUACUGAUCUUAUUUUGCUAAUUGUUAUGAUGGCAUCACAAGGUUUGUGGGCAUUUCUAAAGGGCAACGUUUAAGGAGCUUUUUGCCAUUGAGACUAUGAAAUGAUCAUAAGAUAUGCUUUGUUGUGACAUUUGAGAUGGUUAAGGAUGUUUUCUUUAAGAGGGUAUCAUAUCACAGCGUUGCUUGAUUUUAUCGGGGAUUUAAAACAUUUACGAUACUUCGAUUUUUCUCAAACUGUGAUUAAAAGAUUGCUCGAGUCAAUAAAUACCCUUUAUAGCUUUUAUUAAAAAAGUGUCACAGCCUUGAGAAGCUACCUUCAAAUAUGGAAAAUCUACUCAACCUAUGUUAUCUUGAUGUCACUGGUGCAAUAGACGGAGAAACUAUCCAAUUUUGUGUUGGGUAAAAACUGGGGAUAUCAAAUAAAGGAGCUAAAGGAUUUGUGAGAUAUCAAAUAAAGGACAACUUUGUAUUUCAGGCUUACAGAAUGUUGUUGAAUGUCAAGAUGCGUGGAUGGCUAAGUUACAUGAUAAGCAAGGCUUGGGAAACUAGAAAAUGGAGUGCAAACUUUGAGAAUAGAACACAAGAAGUCGAGAAAAAGGUAUUGGAUUGACUUCAACCUUCUAAAAAAGCUUAAGGACCUUACAAUUACCUUUUAUUGUGGUACAAUGUUAGCCAAUUGGGUAGGAAUAGAGUGCAUUUCCUUCAUUGGAGAGUUUACAGUUUGAGGACCUGCCUAAGUGAGAUAACUGGAACAUUUGUGAAGUUGAUGAGCAAGCCAGGAAUGUAAUUGGCCAAAUUUGCCUGGCCUACAUGAAGCAAAACAGUCCAAAUACAACAGUAUUUUGGGCCCAAAACCCAAACCAAAAAUACAAUAACAAUGGCCCAAACUACAGUGGCCCAAAUUACAGUCAGAAACCCUAGGGUUUCAACAGCGCCGCAAGCCAAGCAUCGCAUCUCCGCGAUCUUCACUUGCAAGGAAACAAACAGAAAAAGGAAAGAAAAUUAAAGAUUUGCAGAUCAAAUAGAUUUUCUUUUUUUGUUUCUUUUUAUUCUUAUUUCGGCUAUAAAAAGCCAUUGAAUGGACUGUAAUAAGGAUCGGAUUCGAAAUCAAUAAAAAGACAAGCAUUCUUUACAAA
Gossypium raimondii (Peruvian cotton) is the source of this 1969-nucleotide long non-coding RNA. RefSeq lists it as uncharacterized. Lineage: Eukaryota; Viridiplantae; Streptophyta; Magnoliopsida; Malvales; Malvaceae. The record is from RefSeq and is a predicted model, not a curated record. The transcript has 2 exons.